UAAAUAAUUAUUUCAUAUUAAUGAGUAGAAAACAAAGCUAGUAUAAUACAAAAUUCUGCAUAGCAACUAAGAAAAUAAAAGAAAUAGAAAAGGUAGAGAGGUUGCAAAAUUAUAUGGAUACCAUAAGUGACACGUUGGAAGGUUAAAAAAUGAGAAUAAGGGAAAUAAAAAAAAGAAAUAUUAUAAAAAUAAUACGUACUUAAAAUAUUCGAAAAUAAAAAAAUAAAAAUAAAAGAUUAGAAGAGUUACAUUACCUUAUAAUUAUAUAGUAUAAUUACUACUACUUCUCACUUUUUUGAGAAUUAAAGAGUGCAAUUAGUCUCUUAAUUAUAUCAAAUUCUAUGUUGAUCAAGUAAUUAUUUGGCCAGACAAACCCGCUAAACUUUGUAAUUACACCUAACUAGACCCAAAUCAAAUUCCUAGGUGAUUUUCCAAACAUGAUGUUAAUGUGGAUCCAAAUUAAAAAUCACGGAAACAUAGCUGCUCCUAGCCAUUGUUCUAAAAUGCGCGGGCGUGAAAUGAAUGGUUUAAUCUGAUAUGGGGCGAUGCUUAAGCCUCGAAGCAUUCUGCUUAAGCUGAUGGAUCUUUAGUUUUUAAUAUUUUAUAUAUUAAUAUAAUAAAAG
RNAcentral lists this long non-coding RNA (623 nucleotides) under Nicotiana benthamiana. RNAcentral's name for it is "long non-coding RNA (NBEN_LNC020117)". The record is from RNAcentral. Lineage: Eukaryota; Viridiplantae; Streptophyta; Magnoliopsida; Solanales; Solanaceae.